GUAGGUGGCAAGCGUUGUCCGGAAUUAUUGGGCGUAAAGCGCGCGCAGGCGGUCCUUUAAGUCUGAUGUGAAAGCCCACGGCUCAACCGUGGAGGGUCAUUGGAAACUGGGGGACUUGAGUACAGAAGAGGAAAGCGGAAUUCCAAGUGUAGCGGUGAAAUGCGUAGAGAUUUGGAGGAACACCAGUGGCGAAGGCGGCUUUCUGGUCUGUGACUGACGCUGAGGCGCGAAAGCGUGGGGAGCAAACAGGGAUUAGAUACCCUGGUAGUCCACGCCGUAAACGAUGAGUGCUAAGUGUUAGGGGGUUUCCGCCCCCUUAGUGCUGCAGCUAACGCAUUAAGCACUCCGCCUGGGGAUACGGCCGCAAGGCUG
This 372-nucleotide ribosomal RNA is filed under the name uncultured organism. RNAcentral's name for it is "partial 16S ribosomal RNA". It matches the Rfam family "Bacterial small subunit ribosomal RNA", at positions 527 to 896 of the family's 1533-position model. The record is from RNAcentral.